AACGAACGCUGGCGGCAUGCCUAACACAUGCAAGUCGAACGAGACCUUCGGGUCUAGUGGCGCACGGGUGCGUAACGCGUGGGAACCUGCCCUUAGGUUCGGAAUAACUCCCCGAAAGGGGUGCUAAUACCGGAUAAUGUCUUCGGACCAAAGAUUUAUCGCCUUUGGAUGGGCCCGCGUUCGAUUAGCUAGUUGGUAGGGUAAAAGCCUACCAAGGCGACGAUCCAUAGCUGGUCUGAGAGGAUGAUCAGCCACACUGGGACUGAGACACGGCCCAGACUCCUACGGGAGGCAGCAGUGGGGAAUAUUGGACAAUGGGCGAAAGCCUGAUCCAGCAAUGCCGCGUGAGUGAUGAAGGCCUUAGGGUUGUAAAGCUCUUUUACCCGGGAUGAUAAUGACAGUACCGGGAGAAUAAGCUCCGGCUAACUCCGUG
This 433-nucleotide ribosomal RNA is filed under the name uncultured bacterium. RNAcentral describes it as "partial 16S ribosomal RNA". It matches the Rfam family "Bacterial small subunit ribosomal RNA", at positions 29 to 507 of the family's 1533-position model. The record is from RNAcentral.